UAACGGGGGAUUGGCUACUAAUCCUUUCUAUCCGUCAAUUGCCUCAACUCUUGGAGGUCUUAUCAGAUAGCACAUGCCUCAUCUUGGAGGUCUUUGGCACAAUUGUAAACAAACACAAACAGAGCCUCUGAAGGAGGACUUGCCAGCAAAAUGCCUGCCAAAAAGGUGACAGGACUUCCAGACUACAUGAAGUAAGAAGAUAACUACCUAAGUGGUGUAUCAACCAUAAUCAAAAGCUC
This 239-nucleotide long non-coding RNA is filed under the name Lathyrus oleraceus (garden pea). RNAcentral describes it as "Pisum sativum (pea) long non-coding RNA (PSAT_LNC012078)". Lineage: Eukaryota; Viridiplantae; Streptophyta; Magnoliopsida; Fabales; Fabaceae. The record is from RNAcentral.